This 226-nucleotide unclassified non-coding RNA is filed under the name uncultured fungus. RNAcentral describes it as "sequence contains ITS1, 5.8S rRNA gene". The stretch from base 178 to 226 matches the Rfam family "5.8S ribosomal RNA", at positions 1 to 49 of the family's 154-position model. Lineage: Eukaryota; Fungi. The record is from RNAcentral.
UCUCCGUUGGUGAACCAGCGGAGGGAUCAUUACUGAGUGAGGGCUUCGGUCCGACCUCCAACCCUUUUGUGAACCACCUCGUUGCUUCGGGGGCGACCCUGCCGUCCGCGGCGUGGGGCCCCCGGAGGCUCAUCAAACACUGCAUCUCUGCGUCGGAGUCUUAAUGAAUUUAAACAAAACUUUUAACAACGGAUCUCUUGGUUCUGGCAUUGAUGAAGAACGCAGC